This 510-nucleotide ribosomal RNA is filed under the name uncultured bacterium. Its description in RNAcentral is "bacterial SSU rRNA". It matches the Rfam family "Bacterial small subunit ribosomal RNA", at positions 28 to 531 of the family's 1533-position model. The record is from RNAcentral.
GAUGAACGCUAGCGGCAGGCCUAACACAUGCAAGUCGAGGGGCAUCGCGGUGCAGCAAUGCACUGGCGGCGACCGGCGUACGGGUGCGUAACGCGUAUGUAACCUGCCCCGCACCGGGGGAUAGCCCGCCGAAAGGCGGAUUAAUACCCCAUGGUCCCGGGGGCCCGCAUGGGCAUCCGGGUAAAGCCUUGGCGGUGCGGGAUGGGCAUGCGUGCCAUUAGCUGGCUGGUGGGGUAACGGCCCACCAGGGCAACGAUGGCUAGGGGGUCUGAGAGGAUGGUCCCCCACACUGGUACUGAGACACGGACCAGACUCCUACGGGAGGCAGCAGUGAGGAAUAUUGGUCAAUGGGCGGAAGCCUGAACCAGCCAUGCUGCGUGCGGGAUGAAGGCCCUACGGGUUGUAAACCGCUUUUCCCCGGGAAGAAUAACCCCGAUGAGUCGGGUGAUGCCGGUACCGGGGGAAUAAGGAUCGGCUAACUCCGUGCCAGCAGCCGCGGUAAAACGUCUA